GCGGAAGUAGUUCAGUGGUAGAACACCCGACAGACGAAGCGCUAAAACGUGGGAUUCUGUCGGGGGGUCGCGGGUUCGAGUCCCGUCUUCCGCUCCA
Molecule: transfer RNA, 97 nt
Filed under: Salasvirus phi29
Lineage: Duplodnaviria; Heunggongvirae; Uroviricota; Caudoviricetes; Salasmaviridae
Description: RNA (97-mer) from Bacillus virus phi29 (PDB 6JXM, chain B)
Rfam family: tRNA
About the family: Transfer RNA (tRNA) molecules are approximately 80 nucleotides in length.
Source: RNAcentral